CAAGAAUGUUACAUGUGUGGAGGUAAGCGAAGGCGGGAAACUAUGUUCCUGAUCAUAGCUGUCAACGUUUCCCUUUUUUAAAAGAGAAAUUCCCUUAUCCCGAAUGGGAUUCCUUGCAAGAAAAGGGAAAGUUGACAGCUAUGUUCCUGAUGCAAGUGCUAAAAUAAAAAAAACUUAUGACAAGUUAAUACUGUAAUGACGACUAAUAAUUUAAUAAUUAGCAAUUCAAUAAUGACAAAUAAGAUUCAUAAUAAGAGGAGCAGUUGUUAAUGAUUUAUACUGAUGACAAUGUGCCUGCCCUUCUAAAACGUUUCCCUUGAGAUACAGUGUCGGGGUAACAGCAAACUACUCCAAUAACCGCAUCUCACGAUUCAGUCAAAAUCAAUUCUGAUCAAAGUAAUAGGAACUUAAUAAAUUACAUAGCAGCAAGUAUUGAAUUUGCCUUUUCAAGUAACUAGUAAGCUGAGUGCUAAUGGUUCUUCUAGAAAUGGUAAUUAUUUUUGUCGUUUAGUCGUGUCCAACUCUUCGUGACCCCAUGGAUUUGUUUGCACAAAGUCUGUGGGGAAGUUAGAUUCCAUGAGAAUUCCUUCCAAUUUCUUUUCAGGGAAUGUUAUAUGAUAUUGCACCAAGCAAUCUUUACCCCACACUUUCCAGUGCAUUUCUAUGUCAGUUUCCUUACUGCAAACAGACAAAGGGGUUGUUGUUGUUGUUGACAACAACAACUUUAAUGGUGCAACCUGAAUUUGCAGGAAUGUGACUGAAUUAUACCCCAAAACAGCCCCCUUGUGGAAGCUCCAAUAGACACAAAUCAUAGAUAUAGUCUGUCCGCGUGAUCCUUCUCCAAAGCUGUGCUUUGUGCCAGGGUCUGGCUUCAGUCAAGCACCUCGACCGCAGCUGAACUCAAGUUGCUCACAGUCUUGAGAUAAAAUGAGUGCACACAAAGCAUGCAGUUCACAGCCCUGCAACCACACAGGGUUUUUUAUUGCAAAACCACAAGCAGAUUCCAGCUUGCAAACAGUUGGUUAAAAGAGGAAGUCUAUUGCAUGGCAGGUGCAAAACCACCUGAGGGGAAUUAAAAGUUUUAAAACCUCAAGUUCCUCCCCAUGCUUGAAAACAAACAAGUGUUUCAAGCAUGUGAUCACUGGCUCUGGAACACUUAGCAAUCCGAAUCCGAGCAGCCACAGACAUCAAAGGAGUUGAUACGGAGGGGGGGGGGGCAUGUCUUCUUCACCUUCUUCUUCGCUACAAUAUAUCCAUUUAUUUCCAAUUGUCAAUGUCAAAAGGGACUAAAAUCUAUAAAAUUCAUAGAAAAUCAACGUGCCAAUUUGCUCAAUUUCUCCAGGACUCCAUGACACCUCCCCUGUCCUCCAUAAUCCCUCAACCAAGGUGUCAAGACCCUAAUCCUGUCAAAUCACUCUGCCAAGCCUUUCCUCCGGCAAUGCCAGGUGACAGAAUAUGCAUACAUGGACCAUUGUCUUCUCAGGAAGUGCUUAUCUGCGCAUAUCUCCAGCUCUGCAUAUUCCCCCCUCCCUCCUCCAUAUGUUAAUCCGGUGUAACCCAACCUCUCCUUAAUAUAUUCAUGAUGUAAUCUGUGUAACCCAACCUCUCCUUAAUGUAUUCAUGAUGUAACUGUGAUGUAUUUUGCACUGUAUUCUGGGACAUGGAGGGAAGUUUCAAAAGUUCAUGUCACCCCUUUCUCGCUGUUCAAUCUCAUCUUGAACCUGUUGCGCAAUAAACUU
Non-coding RNA from Podarcis lilfordi (Lilford's wall lizard), 1739 nucleotides. The record is from the annotation of a GenBank genome assembly. NCBI's taxonomy places the organism in Eukaryota, Metazoa, Chordata, Lepidosauria, Squamata, Lacertidae.